CCUACGGGAGGCUGCAGUGAGGAAUAUUGGUCAAUGGGCGAGAGCCUGAACCAGCCAAGUCGCGUGAAGGAUGACGGCCCUACGGGUUGUAAACUUCUUUUGUCAGGGAGCAAUUUGGUCCACGCGUGGGCUUAGCGAGAGUACCUGAAGAAAAAGCAUCGGCAAACGCCGUGCCAGCAGCCGCGGUAAUACGGAGGAUGCGAGCGUUAUCCGGAUUUUUUGGGUUUAAAGGGUGGGGAGGCGGGAGAUCAAGUCGGCGGAAAAUUCGGGGCUAAACCCCGUCGUGCCGUUGAAACUGAUGUUCUUGAGUGGGCGAGAAGUAUGCGGAAUGCGUGGUGUAGCGGUGAAAUGCAUAGAUAUCACGCAGAACUCCGAUUGCGAAGGCAGCAUACCGGCGCCCAACUGACGCUGAAGCACGAAAGCGUGGGUAUCGAACAGGAUUAGAUACCCUAGUAGUC
RNAcentral lists this ribosomal RNA (458 nucleotides) under uncultured bacterium. RNAcentral describes it as "partial 16S ribosomal RNA". It matches the Rfam family "Bacterial small subunit ribosomal RNA", at positions 338 to 795 of the family's 1533-position model. The record is from RNAcentral.